This 363-nucleotide unclassified non-coding RNA is filed under the name uncultured bacterium. RNAcentral's name for it is "contains 16S-23S intergenic spacer region". The record is from RNAcentral.
UCCCUGUUACCAGGGCAGUCUGAAUAGAAAAAUACAACUAUUCACAAGGGUUGCGCUCGUUGAUGGACUUAACCAAACAUCUCACGACACGAGCUGACGACGGCCAUGCAUCACCUGUCACUUGGCUCAAUAAAGCACUCUUGCCUUUCGGCAAAAUUCCAAGGAUGUCAAGCCUGGGUAAGGUUCUUCGCUUACCAUCGAAUUAAACAACACGCUCCACCGCUUGUGCGGGUCCCCGUCAAUUCCUUUAUGUUUUAGCCUUGCGGCCGUACUCCACAGGCGGGAUGCUUAACGCGUUAGCUUCGCUACAGAAGGGGUCGAUACCUCCUACAGCUAGCAUCCAUCGUUUACGGCGUGGACUAC